Molecule: non-coding RNA, 169 nt
Filed under: Paenibacillus ihumii
Lineage: Bacteria; Bacillati; Bacillota; Bacilli; Caryophanales; Paenibacillaceae
Source: RNAcentral
CGGUGCUGCCCAUAAUCUAUUAUGAAGCAGCUUAAUAGGGAAGUUCGAUGUAAAUUCGACGCGGUCCCGCCACUGUAACGCGGAGCUGACUAUCGUAAAGCCACUGUUGAUCAACAAUGGGAAGGUGAUAGUUAAGCGAUGAAGCGAAGCCAGGAGACCUGCCGUGUAA